This 402-nucleotide ribosomal RNA is filed under the name uncultured bacterium. Its description in RNAcentral is "bacterial SSU rRNA". It matches the Rfam family "Bacterial small subunit ribosomal RNA", at positions 355 to 774 of the family's 1533-position model. The record is from RNAcentral.
UGGGGAAUAUUGGACAAUGGGCGCAAGCCUGAUCCAGCCAUGCCGCGUGAGUGAUGAAGGCCUUAGGGUUGUAAAGCUCUUUCGCCGGUGAAGAUAAUGACGGUAACCGGAGAAGAAGCCCCGGCUAACUUCGUGCCAGCAGCCGCGGUAAUACGAAGGGGGCUAGCGUUGCUCGGAAUUACUGGGCGUAAAGCGCACGUAGGCGGUUUCUUAAGUCGGGGGUGAAAUCCUGGAGCUCAACUCCAGAACUGCCUUCGAUACUGGGAAACUUGAGUUCGGGAGAGGUUAGUGGAACUGCGAGUGUAGAGGUGAAAUUCGUAGAUAUCAGGAGGAACACCGGCGGUGUAGACGGCUUGCUAGACCAUAACUGACGCUGAGGCACGAAAGCGUGGGUAGCAAACA